CGUCCUCAUAUUUAGUUUUUUUUUACCCAAAAUCGACCAUAAACCGACAACAUUUAGAGAAAAAGUCACUUUUGCACCAAACUCAUUUUAAGCCUAAGUCGACCACAUAUUUAGCUUAUUUCUACCCGAAACUGACCAAAACCGACUCAAUUUUAACAAAAAAAUCACUUUUGCAGCAAACUCAUUUUAUGCCUAAAUGGACACAUAUUUAGCUUAAGUGUACCAAAAUCGACCAAAAACGACACACUUAAACAAAAAGUCACUUUUGCACAAACCUUAGCUUAUGCCUAAAUCGACCUAAUAUUUAGAUUAUUUCUACCGUAAUCGACCAAAAACCGACAAAAUUUUAACAAAAAAUUACUUUUGCAACCUCAUCUUAUGCCUAAAUCGCCACAUAUUUAGUUUUUUUUACCAAAAUCGACCAUUAACCGACAACAUUUAGAGAAAAAGUCACUUUUGCACCAAACUAUUUUAAGCCUAAAUCGACCACAUAUUUAGCUUAUUUUACCCGAAACUGACCAAAACCGACACAAUUUUAACAAAAAAUCACUUUUGCAUUAACUCAUUUAUGAAAAAUCGACGAAAAACCGAACCAUUUAAAGAAAAAGUCAUUUUGCACCAAACUCAUUUUAAACCUAAUCGACCAUAUUUAGCUAUUCUCAAAAAUCCGACACAUUUUCAAAUCACUUUGCACCAAUAUCUUAUGCUAAUGCACAUAAUUUAUUUUUUUUAGCGAAGAUAGACCUUAGGUCGAAACGAUCUUAACCUAUUCUCAAACUUUAAAUGGUAAGAACCUAACUUUCUUGAUAUGAAGUUUAAGUUAUGAAUAAUGUGCCAGUGGCCACUUUGGUAACAGAAUGGCGCUGUGGAUGAACCAAACGUUUUCUUGCCUAACAUCAUGCAGAAACCAUAAAGCGUUGGUUGCUUAAAACAGCAGACGGUGAUCAUGAAGUCGAAAAUCGCUAAGAGUGUGUAACAACUCACUGCCGAAGCAACUAGCCUUAAAUGGAUGGCGCUUAAGUUGUAUACCUAUACAUUACCGCUAAAGUAGAUGAUUUAUUUUUGUAUAAAUUUUACUUUAGUGUAAAGUGACAAUGUUGUAGUGUAUUUCUACGCAUAACUGACCAUAACUGACACAAUUUGGUAGUAGCAAAUAAUCGAAUGAGACCUUGGAGGACUGAAGUGGAGAAGGUUUCGUGUGAACAGUGUUGAUCACGAGUUAGUCGUCCUAAGUUCAGGCGAAAGCCGAAAAUUUUCAAGUAAAAAAUCAGUGAGUAAUAUUGUCAAAUCUUUUAUGAUUUUUAAAUACUUGAAUAAAAUUUUCCCGAUUUUAACGAAAGGGAAUACGGUUCCAAUUCCGUAACCUGUUGAGUAUCCGUUUGUUAUUAAAUAUGGGCCUCGUGCUCAUCCUGGCAACAGGAACGACCAUAAAGAAGCCGUCGAGAGAUAUCGGAAGAGUUUUCUUUUCUGUUUUAUAGCCGUACUACCAUGAAGUCUUUCGCAGAGAGAUAUGGUAGAUGGGCUAGAAGAGCAUGACAUAUACUGUUGUGUCGAUAUUUUCUCCUCGGACCUUGAAAAUUUAUGGUGGGGACACGCAAACUUCUCAACAGGCCGUACCAAUAUCCGCAGCUGGUCUCCAAGGUGAAGAGUCUCUAGUCGAUAGAAUAAUGUAGGUAAGGGAAGUCGGCAAAUUAGAUCCGUAACUUCGGGAUAAGGAUUGGCUCUGAAGAUUGAGAUAGUCGGGCUUGAUUGGGAAACAAUAACAUGGUUUAUGUGCUCGUUCUGGGUAAAUAGAGUUUCUAUCAUUUAUGGUAGUUACUUGUUCCCCGGAUAGUUUAGUUACGUAGCCAAUUGUGGAACUUUCUUGCUAAAAUUUUUAAGAAUACUAAUUGGGUUAAACCAGUUAGUUCUUAUUAAUUAUAACGAUUAUCAAUUAACAAUCAAUUCAGAACUGGCACGGACUUGGGGAAUCCGACUGUCUAAUUAAAACAAAGCAUUGUGAUGGCCCUAGCGGGUGUUGACACAAUGUGAUUUCUGCCCAGUGCUCUGAAUGUCAAAGUGAAGAAAUUCAAGUAAGCGCGGGUCAACGGCGGGAGUAACUAUGACUCUCUUAAGGUAGCCAAAUGCCUCGUCAUCUAAUUAGUGACGCGCAUGAAUGGAUUAACGAGAUUCCUACUGUCCCUAUCUACUAUCUAGCGAAACCACAGCCAAGGGAACGGGCUUGGAAUAAUUAGCGGGGAAAGAAGACCCUUUUGAGCUUGACUCUAAUCUGGCAGUGUAAGGAGACAUAAGAGGUGUAGCAUAAGUGGGAGAUAUUAGAUUUCGGUUUGGUAUCGACAAUGAAAUACCACUACUCUUAUUGUUUCCUUACUUACUUGAUUAAAUGGAACGUGUAUCAUUUCCUAGCCAUUAUACGGAUAUAUUUAUUAUAUCUUAUGGUAUUGGGUUUUGAUGCAAGCUUCUUGAUCAAAGUAUCACGAGUUUGUUAUAUAAUCGCAAACAAAUUCUUUAAUGAGAAGAUGCAGUUAUGUAUUUUCAAUUUGAAAAUUUGGUAUAACUCCAAUUACUCAGGUAUGAUCCAAUUCAAGGACAUUGCCAGGUAGGGAGUUUGACUGGGGCGGUACAUCUCUCAAAUAAUAACGGAGGUGUCCCAAGGCCAGCUCAGUGCGGACAGAAACCACACAUAGAGCAAAAGGGCAAAUGCUGACUUGAUCUCGGUGUUCAGUACACACAGGGACAGCAAAAGCUCGGCCUAUCGAUCCUUUUGGUUUAAAGAGUUUUUAACAAGAGGUGUCAGAAAAGUUACCAUAGGGAUAACUGGCUUGUGGCGGCCAAGCGUUCAUAGCGACGUCGCUUUUUGAUCCUUCGAUGUCGGCUCUUCCUAUCAUUGUGAAGCAAAAUUCACCAAGCGUUGGAUUGUUCACCCAUGCAAGGGAACGUGAGCUGGGUUUAGACCGUCGUGAGACAGGUUAGUUUUACCCUACUAAUGACAAAACGUUGUUGCGACAGCAUUCCUGCGUAGUACGAGAGGAACCGCAGGUACGGACCAAUGGCACAAUACUUGUUCGAGCGAACAGUGGUAUGACGCUACGUCCGUUGGAUUAUGCCUGAACGCCUCUAAGGUCGUAUCCGUGCUGGACUGCAAUGAUAAAUAAGGGGCAAUUUGCAUUGU
This 3172-nucleotide ribosomal RNA is filed under the name Drosophila miranda. Its description in RNAcentral is "eukaryotic LSU rRNA". The stretch from base 495 to 3172 matches the Rfam family "Eukaryotic large subunit ribosomal RNA". Lineage: Eukaryota; Metazoa; Arthropoda; Insecta; Diptera; Drosophilidae. The record is from RNAcentral.